AUGGAGAUUUAAUGCUUUUUCAGAAGCACAAGACUGAAACCAAAGCCGUGUUGCAAUGCUGAUCACAUCCUAUGCUUUGCCUGAGUAAGUCCCCCAUUUUGGAGCUCUCCUCCUUCACCUCAUGGGGCAGGUUGGAGCUCCCUGCACUCCCCCUGCGUUGGUUCCCCCCUUUCCCCUCCCCCCGUGUUGUUCGGGCCCACCCUUAGGCCUCACUCAGGCCUGCAUCGCGCCAGCGCGUUGCCAUAGCGACGAGGCGCUGGCCACCUACCCCUUUAAGGGCGUUCUUGGAGGCCGGAAGUGCCUCCGCGCGGCGCUCUGGUUUUCCCUUCGUCUCUGUGGUUUUCCUGCCUUUCUGCUUCCGGUGGCGGGCAUUGCGAGGGGCGGCGUGGCAGGGGUCUGGGCCUGGGGUGGUCAUAAGCGGAGCUGGGGUCAUAUUGAGGGCUGGAGAUCAGAAUAUGGGAGCUUGGUUAGUCAUUCUGGCGGUGAGGGUGCAGAGAUUUGGGGAAGAGGGGUCAUAUAGGAGUAUGGGGUUAGAGUACGGGUAUGGGAGGAGGGAGAAGGUGGAGGGGUCAUAUUGAGGUCUGGGGUCAGGGUGUGGGGGGGUGGAGAGUCGUAUUUUGGGCUGGAGAUGAAGAUACAGGGGUUUAAGAUGGUUAUACUGCGGCCUAGAGUUAAGGGUGGAGGUAAGGGCUGGAGUAGAACUAGAGGGUUCAAACUGGGGUCUGAGAGUCAGGGUAGGGGAGGUUCAGAGGGCCAUAUUGGGGCUUGGGGUCAGGAAAUGGGGGCCUGGGAUAAUACUGGAGUCUAGAGGUGAGGGUGCAGGGGCUGGUGGGGGGUUCGUGUUGGGGCUGAGGGGCAGGGCGUGAAGAGGGGAGAUGAAGGCUGGAGCAGGGCUGGGGUAUCAUUUUGCAGUCUCAGUUCACGAGGCUGGAAGGGAGCACAGUGGGCACUGAGGGGCAGCAGGGUGCCGUAAGUAGCAGGGCUGAGAGGAGUAGGGACUGUGAGGGGAGGGUAUGGGAUGCAAGUGGACAGAGAAUGUCCCUUGAGCAUCAUGUGUCACGGGAUCUGUGGUGGGGGUUGCUUCCAGAAGAAAUAAAGCUCCAACUCAUGGCAGAAGAUUGCUAGGUCUUCUUGGGAAGCCAGCGUUCAUCAGGUAAGUGGGACCGAGGCAAGGCCAGUGACUCAUGCACUCUCUCUGGGUGAGCAGCAGCCACUCAGGAGCCUUCCAUGCCCACUGGUGCUAUGGUAGGCUGAGGGCCUGGGGAUGGCUGCUGGCGGCUGUGUCUCAGCCUAGUGCCUGCUGGCCUCACCCGUGCCCCAGAUCAACCCCCAGAGGUCCCCCUGCUGGGUUCCUCCUAUGCAGUAACAGGUGUGAGCAUCCAUGCAGCAUUCUGAUGGUCAUGUAUGAUACUGCACACAAUUAGUUGCUAUCUUCAGCCAAAGGAGAGUUCUCUUUACAGCUUGAGCAUUAAUUUCUAUAAUGUGUACUGCAUCUUUUAAAAGCUGUCUUGUACUAUUAAGCUGUCAUUGCCCUUCCUUUACGGGCAGGUUUUACGUGUGGAAGGUAGAAUUUAGGUACAUGGAUGAUAAUUUUUUUCCCCUUGAUUUAUCACAGGUACUGUCUGAAUUCCCAAACUUUAUUUCAUGUAAUAGGGAGUACUGAUAGGGUGGUUCUUUAUUUGAACAAACCAAGGUUCUGUUGAAAGCUGUGUACUUUGCCCUCCUGUUGCAUCUGUGCUUUUCUUUAGUGUUGACUUUUUUUUUUUUACAACCAAGGAGUUCAGCUGAGGUCCCAGCUAAGGCCCUUGUGUGCUCUUGCAGGUGUGGGGCAGGCCUGGAUUGGCAGCUGGCACCCAAACAGCCCAGGCUUCUGAGAAAAAAAAAAAUAAAAAUAAAAUCAUUCACCACCACUAAAAAGGCACUUCAUUGUUUAUUUUUGGUGUCUGGCAGUGGUGUGUGGUCAGAAUGCUAUAGGAAAGGAUUUUAAAACUUUUAAAACUUUUAAAAAAACUUGUAAAAAGGCGGGAUGGGAUGCUGUUUUUAUGAAUUGUUUUAGUUGAUGCUGGUGCACAGAAGACAGGUCUGUGUGGGGCAGUAGUCUCCAGCUUUAGCUGGUUUUCUUGCUAAAGCUCUGACUGGUUAAUGGGCUCUGUUUGAAAAACACUGCACAGUGCUUAGGCAAUCUCCAUUUUAAUUUGCUUUCCUGUGGCAGUAAAGCAGUCCUAAGGGGUUUCUCUGAGGCAGCUUACUGUGUAUGAGCUGGAGCCUUUUGGGCUUUUACAGGAAGCUUGCCUGGGAUCACGAGAGGAGCUGAAGUGUAGCUGUCAUUGCUAUUACCAGCCAACAGCAGGGAGGGCCAAGUUCAGCACAUGACUGAGAUGAUAAAAGUCUAAUGCUCAUCUCAUUUUUCAUUAAGGGAUUUGAACAGAGCUGCAGGGCUCAGGAGCAGGGAAAGGGAACAGCACACAUUACUGGGUGCCUGCAGACGUGGGGCACUUCCAGUUAAAUCUGCCCAGUUGCCAGCAGCUAUUUGAAUGCAUGGGGCUAUCCUUACUGGCCAUGCCCAGGGGAAGGUCCUACUUUGAGAUGGAGGCAGACAUUAGGUCCUCUGGUCCUCCUCCACAGCAGGAUUGAAACCAAAGCUUGUAUAGAUUUGUGAGAUGGUAAAGUAACUGCCUUCUUAAAAAACACACACUUUUGGUAAAGAGUUUGUUUCAUCAGUGUCAGACAGACACAUGUUCAGAAUAACCUUGCUUCAAAGUGAGCCAGGCUGCCUGCAGCCCUCUGAGCUUGCAAGGUACUUGUAGAUAAAGCAUGGUGCUUCCCAGUACUGCAUUCAGCUGAUGGGCUGAAUGCUUAUUGCUUUUUCUCAUCUAUGUCAACUCUAUGUUUUUUUGCAGCCCUCACCUAACAUAGCAAGUAUUGGACCUUAUGUAAAACUAUAGCAGUGAUGCAGUUUAACUACUACAAAGUUGUAGGACCUUCUGGUCCUUUGUGGACUGUAAGGUGAAUUUUGCUGCCUUCUGACUUCAGCCAACGGUGACAAUUGGGCUAGGAUUCGGUGGCUCAAUGAGGAUGGGGUUUAUUUUGGGAGGGAGCCUCCUGAGCUGCUGCCUGGGCUCUUGUCUGAGGCUUAGAAACAGCAGCCUUCCAGUGUACACAUCACUAAGUACUGUGCUUAAUGCUUGCUGCUCUUCAUGUAGGUGUUCCUGCUGACCAUGGAGUGCCUGCUGAAUCUGCACCCUCGCCAAGGUGGCUGAACCGAAGACCUGUCUGCGUUAUGGUGAGAGUUCUGCCCCUGCACUUCCAUUUGUUUAUACCUGUGUGGUCUCUCUAGGCUGUAGAAGGUAUUUUUGCCAAAGUAGAUGGUAAAUGUGAAUAAAUUCCAAUUUUUCAAGCUGA
Molecule: non-coding RNA, 3402 nt
Organism: Meleagris gallopavo (turkey)
Lineage: Eukaryota; Metazoa; Chordata; Aves; Galliformes; Phasianidae
Source: RefSeq, a predicted model, not a curated record